CGGGGCGUAGCGCAGCCCGGUUAGCGCGCCUGCUUCGGGAGCAGGAGGUCGGGAGUUCGAAUCUCCCCGCCCCGACCA
Molecule: transfer RNA, 78 nt
Filed under: bacterium
Lineage: Bacteria
Also listed under: 3 other names
Description: tRNA-Pro
Rfam family: tRNA
About the family: Transfer RNA (tRNA) molecules are approximately 80 nucleotides in length.
Source: RNAcentral